AUUGAACGCUGGCGGCAUGCUUUACACAUGCAAGUCGAGCGGCAGCGCGGGGGCAACCCUGGCGGCGAGCGGCGGACGGGUGAGUAAUGCAUCGGAACGUAUCCCGUAGUGGGGGACAACCCAGCGAAAGCUGGGCUAAUACCGCAUAUGCUCUACGGAGGAAAGUGGGGGACCCGCAAGGGCCUCACGCUAUGGGAGCGGCCGAUGUCCGAUUAGCUAGUUGGUGGGGUAAAGGCCUACCAAGGCGACGAUCGGUAGCUGGUCUGAGAGGAUGAUCAGCCACACUGGGACUGAGACACGGCCCAGACUCCUACGGGAGGCAGCAGUGGGGAAUUUUGGACAAUGGGGGCAACCCUGAUCCAGCCAUGCCGCGUGCGGGAAGAAGGCCUCGGUUGUAACCGCUUUGUUCGGGUAAGAAAGGACGACGUCCUAAUACGGCGUG
This 442-nucleotide ribosomal RNA is filed under the name uncultured bacterium. RNAcentral describes it as "bacterial SSU rRNA". It matches the Rfam family "Bacterial small subunit ribosomal RNA", at positions 28 to 471 of the family's 1533-position model. The record is from RNAcentral.